AUAAUCACGUUCCGGCGGGUAAAUAUACAUUUUUUUUUGCCAGGAUUUCCCUGGUAAAAAUCGCAUUCCAGGUGCUAAAUAUUACAUUAUUGGGGUCGCAUCAACCCGCGGACAUGAAAAACAACCCGCGCCAACAGUGUUAAAUCCAGGGUUGCCAGGUUUUCAAAAACAAAACCCUCCCCGUUGCUACUCAAAACUAGCCCAAAACUAGCCCAAGCGCGUUUUGAGGGGGCACCCCGGGAAUAAUCGCGUUCCCGGGGGUAAAUACAUGGGUUUUUUUGGCGGGAUUUCCUUGGUAAAAAUCGCAUUCCAUGGGCUAAAUAUUGCAGCCCAACCUGGCAACACUCGCAGCCGUUAUUCAAUGCCGUAGCCUUGAUUUAUGCAUGAGUAUCUUUACGGUUCUAACUAGCGUGUAAUGCAUUGUCGUUCGAUAGCUUUUGAGUUUGGAUCCGUCUCGUUUUGUUUAAACUGAGCCUCAUUUUUUUGCAUGUCGGCCUGAUGGAAUUCUUAAAGAGUUCAGCUCAGAUGUGUAUAGAAACAUGGUGUGCUUGAUCAAACCGACCGAACAAAUCGUUCUGAUCAAGUUCACCUUGACUGUUAAUCUUCCAUUCUCACAACAGAAACCAUCAUCUGUAUUGAACAGAGACAUGAGUCGGUGUUUGUUCGAACACUAAGUUUGACUCCCAAAUUGGACUUUUUAGCUCCAGAUGCGUCUACAACACCAAUCCUGUCCAAAAAUACAACACUCAUACCGUUGAAAUGUACCAGACAAUCUACUGCUAAUGUAAAAACACUUUGAGAACUGAGUCACAGACGUUUCAGGAGUUGUGUAACUGAGUAUUGACGUCUUGUGUUUUCAUGUGAAGGAAAUCCCAAAGAUCGCGUAUGUAACUGGAUGUAAAAGCGCUCGUCAGAUACGAGCGCGGAUAUUACGGACUGUAUUCCAAAGAUCUGCUUUUUUAUUCAAAUCGAAAAUGGAUUGGAAACGGAUUCUUUUGUUUUUCGGUUUCAUCGUUUUGCUCAUUUGUUGGUUUGUUGAAUCAUGUUCAUGUACAAAUGGAUUUUUGUUGUUGGAAAUCACGAGAGAAAAUUGAUCAAAUUUUAGUUUUGCAUUCAUGAUCAACGUCUUUGAAACAUUCAAAGUUCAUGUUCUUCCACAAAAUGUUUGACCAUAAAUAAAGAGAACAAGUGAUUUUA
Molecule: long non-coding RNA, 1197 nt
Organism: Labeo rohita (rohu)
Lineage: Eukaryota; Metazoa; Chordata; Actinopteri; Cypriniformes; Cyprinidae
Exons: 2
Source: RefSeq, a predicted model, not a curated record